GACGAACGCUGGCGGCGUGCUUAACACAUGCAAGUGGAGCGACGAACCAGGGCUUGCCCUGGGGCAGAGCCGCGAACGGGUGAGUAACACGUGGGUAACGUGCCCCGAUGACUGGGACAACCCGGGGAAACCCGGGCUAAUACCGGAUGUGCCCCCUCACAUCAGUGAGGUGUGUAAAGGAAGCUUCGGCCUCCGCAUCGGGAUCGGCCCGCGGCCCAUUAGCUUGUUGGUGAGGUAACGGCUCACCAAGGCUGCGAUGGGCAGCUGGUCUGAGAGGACGAUCAGCCACACUGGGACUGAGACACGGCCCAGACUCCUACGGGAGGCAGCAGUGGGGAAUCUUGCGCAAUGCGCGAAAGCGUGACGCAGCAACGCCGCGUGGGGGAAGACGGCCUUCGGGUUGUAAACCCCUUUCAGUUGGGACGAAGGUCGGGCGGUUAACAGCCGUUCCGGCUGACGGUACCUUCACAAGAAGCCCCGGCUAACUACGUG
RNAcentral lists this ribosomal RNA (492 nucleotides) under uncultured bacterium. RNAcentral describes it as "partial 16S ribosomal RNA". It matches the Rfam family "Bacterial small subunit ribosomal RNA", at positions 28 to 507 of the family's 1533-position model. The record is from RNAcentral.